This 241-nucleotide ribosomal RNA is filed under the name uncultured bacterium. RNAcentral describes it as "partial 16S ribosomal RNA". It matches the Rfam family "Bacterial small subunit ribosomal RNA", at positions 91 to 334 of the family's 1533-position model. The record is from RNAcentral.
CUAAGUGGCGGACGGGUGAGUAAUGUAUAGUUAAUCUGCCCUUUAGAGGGGGAUAACAGUUGGAAACGACUGCUAAUACCCCAUACUCCUUUUACAUUAAUUGUAAUUGGGAAACGUUUUUUCGCUAAAGGAUGAGACUAUAUGGUAUCAGGUAGUUGGUGGGGUAAGAGCCCACCAAGCCAAUGACGCCUAGCUGGUCCGAGAGGAUGAUCAGCCACACUGGGACUGAGACACGGCCCAG